This 265-nucleotide ribosomal RNA is filed under the name uncultured Bacillus sp. RNAcentral describes it as "partial 16S ribosomal RNA". It matches the Rfam family "Bacterial small subunit ribosomal RNA", at positions 1117 to 1382 of the family's 1533-position model. Lineage: Bacteria; Bacillati; Bacillota; Bacilli; Caryophanales; Bacillaceae. The record is from RNAcentral.
CGUAACGCGUGAAGGCGAGCACUCUAGACGAACUGCCGUUGACAAAACGGAGGAAGGUGGGAUGACGUCAAAUCAUCAUGCCCCUUAUGUUCUGGGCUACACACGUGCUACAAUGGCCGGUACAGACGGACGCAAAGCCGCGAGGUGGAGCAAAUCCUAAAAAGCCGGUCUCAGUUCGGAUUGCAGGCUGCAAUUCGCCUGCAUGAAGUCGGAAUCGCUAGUAAUCGCAGGUCAGCAUACUGCGGUGAAUACGUUCCCGGGCCUU